Molecule: ribosomal RNA, 466 nt
Filed under: uncultured bacterium
Lineage: Bacteria
Description: partial 16S ribosomal RNA
Rfam family: Bacterial small subunit ribosomal RNA
Source: RNAcentral
GAUGAACGCUGGCGGCGUGCUUAACACAUGCAAGUCGAACGGUGAAAGAGAGCUUGCUCUCUGGAUCAGUGGCGAACGGGUGAGUAACACGUGAGCAAUCUGCCCCUGACUCUGGGAUAAGCGCUGGAAACGGCGUCUAAUACCGGAUACGAGCUGCGAAGGCAUCUUCAGCAGCUGGAAAGAACUUCGGUCAGGGAUGAGCUCGCGGCCUAUCAGCUAGUUGGUGAGGUAACGGCUCACCAAGGCGUCGACGGGUAGCCGGCCUGAGAGGGUGACCGGCCAAACUGGGACUGAGACACGGCCCAGACUCCUACGGGAGGCAGCAGUGGGGAAUAUUGCACAAUGGGCGAAAGCCUGAUGCAGCAACGCCGCGUGAGGGACGACGACCUUCGGGUUGUAAACCUCUUUUAGCAGGGAAGAAGCGAAAGUGACGGUACCUGCAGAAAAAGCACCGGCUAACUACGUG